GGCCUCAUAGCUCAGUUGGUUUGAGCGGUGGCCGUACUUAAGCUUUCCCCUUGCUUGCGUAGGUUUGAAUCCCACCGAGGCCG
This 83-nucleotide transfer RNA is filed under the name Schistocephalus solidus. It matches the Rfam family "tRNA". Rfam says of the family: Transfer RNA (tRNA) molecules are approximately 80 nucleotides in length. The record is from Rfam by way of RNAcentral. Lineage: Eukaryota; Metazoa; Platyhelminthes; Cestoda; Diphyllobothriidea; Diphyllobothriidae.